CAGGGGGGCUCUGCAUGAGUGGCACUCAGGGGAGGUCACUUGCUCUAUUUGUGGAAUCAACAUCAAGAGAUUUCAGAAGCAUAAUAUUUUGGCAGUAGGGUAGCUGGUGAUUGUUGUUCCUGGUGCCCCA
Molecule: small nuclear RNA, 130 nt
Filed under: Sorex araneus (European shrew)
Lineage: Eukaryota; Metazoa; Chordata; Mammalia; Eulipotyphla; Soricidae
Description: U11 spliceosomal RNA (ENSSARG00000017210.1)
Rfam family: U11 spliceosomal RNA
Source: RNAcentral